This 73-nucleotide transfer RNA is filed under the name Chloroflexi bacterium ADurb.Bin325. Its description in RNAcentral is "tRNA-Thr". It matches the Rfam family "tRNA". Rfam says of the family: Transfer RNA (tRNA) molecules are approximately 80 nucleotides in length. RNAcentral also lists the same sequence under 2 other names. The record is from RNAcentral. Lineage: Bacteria; Bacillati; Chloroflexota.
GCCGACGUAGCUCAAUCGGCAGAGCAUCGACCUUGUAAGUCGAGGGUUGCCGGUUCAAUUCCGGCCGUCGGCU